This 87-nucleotide non-coding RNA is filed under the name Desulfobacter sp. RNAcentral describes it as "Desulfitibacter sp. c-di-GMP sequence". It matches the Rfam family "c-di-GMP-I riboswitch aptamer". Rfam says of the family: GEMM was predicted in a large-scale screen for bacterial structured RNA regulatory elements. Genes associated with GEMM are involved in a diverse array of functions, including chemotaxis regulation, signal transduction, secretion and chitin. The record is from RNAcentral. Lineage: Bacteria; Pseudomonadati; Thermodesulfobacteriota; Desulfobacteria; Desulfobacterales; Desulfobacteraceae.
GACCGACAAAGGCAAACUUACUGAAAGGUAAGGACGCAAAGCCGUGGAUCUAAGGUUCAUUUGAACUAUGAUCGCCAGGUUACCGAA